This is a long non-coding RNA of Mus musculus (house mouse), 542 nucleotides long. RefSeq annotates it as predicted gene, 30770. The transcript has 3 exons. Lineage: Eukaryota; Metazoa; Chordata; Mammalia; Rodentia; Muridae. The record is from RefSeq and is a predicted model, not a curated record.
UAAAAUUAUGAAGCAUUUCUUCCUGGAAGGGUUCCAUUGUUGGAAUUUAUAUCCCAGUAUCCAUCAGUGAGAAAAGGACUUAAUGUGAUGCCAGUGGCUCAGCCUUUGGAACGGUGAACAUAUGCUACAUCUCACAAGCAGAUAAGGAUGAGAAGCUCAGCAGUCUGGCAGGAUAUAGAGAUGUCUGAUGCUUUCCAAGCAGAACAAAUACCACAAUGCAGAGGUCAUGUUCUACUCAGACCCCUGUUGCCUCCUCUGAUUACUAGAUGUUCAAUUCGAAUGUGCAUUCCAUCUAGUUUAAGAUUACACAUUUCUUCUGACAGAACUCUGAGGUUGAACGUCAGAUAUUAGGUGACGAGUCACCUCUUAUUUGAAAUGCAGGGAUCAAGGAUCUGUCUGACUAGAUGCAGAGUGCACAUUUUUAUCCUUCUCUUUCCACCCGAUAACCAUCCACUGAAUGAAACUCUUCAAGUCAUUUGCACUAUGACUUACUAAGUACUUACAUAGAAGAGAAAACUGCAAAGCCCUUGUCAAACUUAGAA